CUCAAAAGUCCACUUACUAGCUAUGCUUGUUCAGAAAAACAAACUCCCUACUUGCUUGGUUGGACUUUUUGACUAGGCUUAAAUCUCUCGUAUUUUUUAGUGCUCUGAUAAGAUGUUUAAAAUUCUUCUGAAACUGCUUCGUAUGUUGCUUCAUUAUGUUGACAAAGGUGAUAAAGUUGUAUAAUAACAGUGGACCUUUAAAGACUUUCCAUACCCAGAUGUGGUAAUAACACCAUUUACACUCCAAUUUGUGCAAGGAACUCACCAUCCUAAGCAGUUGACACGUGCUGUUAAAAUGAGAACUGUGCAGGGAGUUGUCAUAAGAGUAUGUGGUGAUUAUGGCUGAUUGAUGAGUCCAUCCACUUCAGCACUGAUGUUGUGAUUGGCAACAUACCUCUCAAAGUUGGAUGCAAAGUUUUUGCAGUUGUGGAAGAAGAUAAAACAUCUUUUGGACUGAAAGCAAUCAAAGCUGGUCUGGAGUUACUGAGCUCAAGCAAUCCUCCUGUCACUGCCUCCUGAGUACCUGGAAUUAUAGGUAACAUUUCUCUCUUCUUUCACACAGAGCUCAAGCCUCACCAUGUCCAGGUACUGCUUUGAUUUUGUUCCAGUCUAAUGUUUUACUCCUCCUGCAAGUUUAUAAGAGCCAUUUUCAAACGUGAUUUAUAUCCAGCAUCACAAGUUACUUAGAUAUAGUUAUUUUCAUUUUACAAUAUUGAAUUUUGAAAUUAAAAGACACAGACGCCGUGUUUUUAUGUUUGGAACUAAUGCUGUAAAGGCAUUAAACAUGGAUGCACAAUUAACAUACUGGAUGCAGUUGAAUAAUCCACAAAACACAGACAUUAUUUUUAUCAUCAUUUUAUGUCCAUGAUACAUUUGGUAUGUGAAAUAUAUGGACUGGUGUUGAGGAGGUUUGUUUAAAAUAUUUCUGGAACACCUAUGGUAUGAACAAUGUUGGGCAGAGGCUGUUUUUUUCUCUGACAUGAGAAUCAUUUGUCUUAAGAAUCCAUAGAACUGUGACAGGCUAACUGGUGAAAUUGUGGUUGAUCUGCUGGAGAUUCUUUGGGAAUCAUACAAGUUCCUAUUGUUAAGUUUUAUUUUGUUUGAAG
Molecule: long non-coding RNA, 1106 nt
Organism: Heterocephalus glaber (naked mole-rat)
Lineage: Eukaryota; Metazoa; Chordata; Mammalia; Rodentia; Bathyergidae
Source: Ensembl